GACGAACGCUGGCGGCGCGCUUAACACAUGCAAGUCGAACGGAAAGGCCUGCUUUCCCUUGUGGAUUGCGGGUACUCGAGUGGCGAACGGGUGAGUAACACGUGAGUGAUCUGCCCCCAACUUGGGUAUAAGCCUGGGAAACUGGGUCUAAUUCCCGAUAGGACUGCAGGGUGGUGCCUGUGGUGGAAAACGAUUUUCUAGUGGUUGGGGAUGAGCUCGCGGCCUAUCAGCUUGUUGGUGGGGUAAUGGCCUACCAAGGCGGCGAUGGGUAGCCGGCCUGAGGGGGUGGACGGGCACAUUGGGACUGAGAUACGGCCCAGACUCCUACGGGAGGCAGCAGUGGGGAAGAGUGCACAAUGGGCGGAAGCCUGAUGCAGCGACGCAGCGUGGGGGAUGACGGCCUGCGGGUUGUAAACUCCUUUCGACCGCGAGGAAGCCUCCUGGUUGGAAGGGUGGUGACGGUAGUGGUAGAAGAAGCACCGGCUAACUACGUG
RNAcentral lists this ribosomal RNA (494 nucleotides) under uncultured bacterium. RNAcentral's name for it is "partial 16S ribosomal RNA". It matches the Rfam family "Bacterial small subunit ribosomal RNA", at positions 28 to 507 of the family's 1533-position model. The record is from RNAcentral.